This 465-nucleotide ribosomal RNA is filed under the name uncultured Pseudomonas sp. Its description in RNAcentral is "bacterial SSU rRNA". It matches the Rfam family "Bacterial small subunit ribosomal RNA", at positions 338 to 795 of the family's 1533-position model. The record is from RNAcentral. Lineage: Bacteria; Pseudomonadati; Pseudomonadota; Gammaproteobacteria; Pseudomonadales; Pseudomonadaceae.
CCUACGGGAGGCAGCAGUGGGGAAUAUUGGACAAUGGGCGAAAGCCUGAUCCAGCCAUGCCGCGUGUGUGAAGAAGGUCUUCGGAUUGUAAAGCACUUUAAGUUGGGAGGAAGGGCAGUAAGCGAAUACCUUGCUGUUUUGACGUUACCGACAGAAUAAGCACCGGCUAACUCUGUGCCAGCAGCCGCGGUAAUACAGAGGGUGCAAGCGUUAAUCGGAAUUACUGGGCGUAAAGCGCGCGUAGGUGGUUUGUUAAGUUGGAUGUGAAAGCCCCGGGCUCAACCUGGGAACUGCAUCCAAAACUGGCAAGCUAGAGUACAGUAGAGGGUGGUGGAAUUUCCUGUGUAGCGGUGAAAUGCGUAGAUAUAGGAAGGAACACCAGUGGCGAAGGCGACCACCUGGACUGAUACUGACACUGAGGUGCGAAAGCGUGGGGAGCAAACAGGAUUAGAUACCCCAGUAGUC